Molecule: long non-coding RNA, 2673 nt
Filed under: Zea mays
Lineage: Eukaryota; Viridiplantae; Streptophyta; Magnoliopsida; Poales; Poaceae
Description: long non-coding RNA (ZMAY_LNC004379)
Source: RNAcentral
CUCCAUCAAAUCACUCGUAGUCUGGGUAUUCGAAGCCCAGGGCAUCCAUUACCCAAUUCAAUCUUUGUUUUUUCUCAACUACUAAAGGCAGUAGUCAUUGUCACACCCGAAUUUAAGGAACAAAGUCGGGUGCAUCUCAUAUAUGCGCCAGAGAAGACACCACAUAUAAUAAUAAAGUGCAUAGAGAUAAAUGUCAUAAAUAUCAUAAAUGUACUUAUUACAUAGCAAAAGUCUUACAAUGAUAAACUAAGCGAACUAAAUAUUAUUCCCUGGCGCCACAAAGCUGACUGAGAGACGCCACCUAGAUCAAGUCGAAAGCCUCAGUGCUAGACGGCUCCUCUUCGACCACCUGUUCUUCUCCUAUGGGGGUGUGAGACAGCAAGAGUGAGCUCACACAUGUUCAUCGCUCAACAAGGUUUAGGGAAUAUUGUGCAUGAAUGUAACACUCCAGGUUCCACAAACAACCCGGUAUGCUACUGUACUACACUUCCGACGUCCAUAUAUAAAAUUUCGGCAGCAUCCCCUUUGCAAGAUUGCAUAAAAGAGGGAGCAACGGAGUAUAAACAUAUAUCAUGACUAAAACAUACUAAGUAUUAUUACUCGGCUAGCAAGGAAAGAUAAACAUACGACCUGAACUGAAUUAACCAGUGCGCACGACCAUAUAAAAAAAUAAACAAACUUCCUUUGACAAUAAGUUUCUAAUUAAAUCAUGGCUGCGCCUGGGCAGCGUUAUUGUGAGAGUGAAAGUGGACGUGCUGCUACUCCUCUCAUUCCCAACAUGUAUCAAGUACCUGCAUUGAGUAAUGCAAGAGUGAGAUGACACAUCUCAGCAAGUAAAAUAAUAUCAAACAGUUUAACCACAUAAGAACAUUGUUUUACCACCACUUAAUUCCACAACCUUCUUAUUACGAAGGUGCAGCACGUAUACAACGUACAACGCACCUAGUUACCACACCUCGCAGGUAGAAACCACAAUAGUAACAUAGUAAUGUCACACUUUAUAUAUUCCUCAUGAGUGCAAAUGUCUGCAAAUGCAAGGAUGACUUCUGCCUUCAUACCUCUAAGGAUAUGAAGCCGCAUCGUACCCCUCCUCGGGCAACGUACGAUGCUAAAAAUGUACCGGUACGGUCGGACCAUAAGAUCACGACAUAACUUCAAAAUGCAAGAUGGAUGAUGCGAUGUGCAUGUCAUGCCUACAACACUUCAUAUAACAUGAUUCAAAAAGACACUUCAACUUCAUCCAGAUGGGAAUCAACCCCAUAUAUCAUUACCAAAUUAUGAUCAUCCACAAUAUUAGACAAUUGAGAAUUAAUACUUCCAAACAAAUAAACUUCAUCAUAGAAUUCAAUGAUUAACAUAAUUAAAACUUAUGCAUACUCAAUGACAGGGAAUAGGAUGCAAACCAAACGGUAGCAACCACCACUGUAUUUACUUGCCUUUACCGGAAGUUCGGGCAAAUCCCAAGUACGAUCCGGAAGCCCAGCACCUGUUUUUGACACCCAACUUAGUACACCAAUUUCACAUAAUCAGGCUCAUAAGCGACGCCGCACCUACGCACAAACUCAAACCCCGCCGCGGGUUACAUCUCUCCCUACACCCACCAAACUGCAGCGGCGCUGCUUAAUAAUUUCAUAACUUUAAAAUUAUGACAGCAGUGGUAACAAACAAAAACUCCAGAGGCAUCUACAUAAAAUUCCCCACAAGUUUUGUAUACAAUUUAUAAUUAAAUUCCAAUAUCUAAUUAGCCCAAAACAGUCCACAAGAUGAACACUGUAAUCUGUUUUUUCUUUGUCUUUUGGACAGCGACAUACCCAGAUUCAAACAGCGAUAUCUUUUAAAAUAUAAUUCCAAAUCAAGCGCAUAAGUACUCAUUGGAAAGAUAAGACAAAUCCCUACAUGAUUACCAUACUGGUUAACACUAAUUACCCACGAAAAAUUCCCAGAAACUGCUAAUACCACUGCUGUUCACCCACCUGAAAAAUCUGUUUUUUUUGGACAGCAACAUAACCGGAUUCAAACAACGAUAUCUCCUGAAUUAUAACUCCGAAUCGAGCACAUAAGUACUUGUUGGAAAGAUAACAUAAAGCCCUACAUGAUUCUCAUACUGAUUAACACUAAUUACUCCCGAAAAAUCCCCAGAAACUGCUAAUACUGCUGCUGUUCAUCCCCCUGAAAAAUCUGUUUUUUUUGGACAGCCACACCCGGAUUCAAACGGUGAUAACUUUCAAUUUAUAACUCCAAAUUGAGCGCAUAAAUACUCGUUGGAAAGGUAAGGUAAAGUUCUACAUGAUCCCCAAACUGAUUUCCCUUAAUUCCUCACGAAAAAAACACAGAAACUGCUAGACUACUGCUGUUCACCCACCACCUAAAAUUCUGGACAGCCCCCCUCUAUCCCAAUCGCAAACGCAACCUCUAAUCAAUUAAAUUGCAGCGCAAAUGAACAAGGGAUGAACACAAAAACCACCUUGGAUUCUCCCCCUUUCCUUCCUCCCUUCUUGCCUCCACCAAAACGAUUGAAGACUCGCACCACAACGACGAUGAUCCGAGCGGCAAGGAUUAGCACCUUGGGAGGAGGGGAUUGAGAGGGGGGGGGGGGCGGCUAGGGUUUGGUGGCUGCAAGAAUUGAGAGAGGAGGAGAUGGGCAGGGGGGCGGCGGCCAAGGGGGAAGAGAAG